UACGGAGGGUGCAAGCAUUAAUCGGAUUUAUUGGGCGUAAAGGGCGUGUAGGCGGGGAUGAAAGUCAGAUGUGAAAUCCCGGGGCUCAACCUCGGAACAGCAUUUGAAACUCCAUUUCUUGAGGGUAGGCGGGGAAAACGGAAUUCCACAUGUAGCGGUGAAAUGCGUAGAUAUGUGGAGGAACACCGGUGGCGAAGGCGGUUUUCUAGCUUAUACCUGACGCUGAGGCGCGAAAGCAAGGGGAGCAAACAGG
RNAcentral lists this ribosomal RNA (253 nucleotides) under uncultured bacterium. RNAcentral's name for it is "partial 16S ribosomal RNA". It matches the Rfam family "Bacterial small subunit ribosomal RNA", at positions 524 to 776 of the family's 1533-position model. The record is from RNAcentral.